Herpailurus yagouaroundi (jaguarundi) is the source of this 463-nucleotide long non-coding RNA. RefSeq lists it as uncharacterized. The transcript has 3 exons. The record is from RefSeq and is a predicted model, not a curated record. NCBI's taxonomy places the organism in Eukaryota, Metazoa, Chordata, Mammalia, Carnivora, Felidae.
UUUCCACUUUCUCUCCCAGACCUGGCCGGAGAGACCCAUGUCAAGUCCUGGUUAACUUGAAGCGUGUGGUUCAAGAAAGGAGAGGAAACCGGCAGCUGGCGCUGAAGGCUUUCCAGGAGAUCAGAUGGGUCCAAGGGAGGAUGUCCCAGGGAAGUAGAGCGAGGCUCGUUGGAGGCAUGGAGAUAAUUAGGAAUCUUUGAGCAAAUAUGGGGAAUGAUUGAGUUGCAAGAUAAAAGAGUACCUUCAUUUUGGCAAGAUGAUUUAUGAGUAUUCUUGAUACUUACCUCUGCAGACAAGUUGGGGGGGAUAUUGGCCAGAGGAGUCCACACCACGUACAUUGCACACUUACUGUGCUCUGCAUUGAAAUCACAAAAAUGAAUAAAACAUGGUCCUUGUCUUGGAGAAACAGCCUGGAGGCCAUGGUAUCCGAGUUCCCACCAUUACAGUUACUUUUUAGUUAAAC